RNAcentral lists this ribosomal RNA (142 nucleotides) under uncultured bacterium. RNAcentral describes it as "partial 16S rRNA". It matches the Rfam family "Bacterial small subunit ribosomal RNA", at positions 355 to 511 of the family's 1533-position model. The record is from RNAcentral.
UGGGGAAUUUUUCCGCAAUGGGCGAAAGCCUGACGGAGCAAUGCCGCGUGGAGGUGGAAGGCCUACGGGUCGUCAACUUCUUUUCUCGGAGAAGAAACAAUGACGGUAUCUGAGGAAUAAGCAUCGGCUAACUCUGCGCCAG